GACGAACGCUGGCGGCGUGCUUAACACAUGCAAGUCGAACGAAGUGGCGAACGGGUGAGUAACGCGUAAUCAACCUGCUCUUCAGAGGGGGACAACAGUUGGAAACGACUGUUAAUACCGCAUCUCGAAGGCGGGGGUUGCGUCUGAUUAGCUAGUUGGAGGGGGAACGGCCUACCAAGGCGAUGAUCAGUUGGCGGGCUGGAAGGAUGAACGGCCACAUUGGGACUGGAGCACGGCCCAGACUCCUACGGGAGGCAGCCGUGGGGGAACUUCCGAAAUGGACGGAAGUCUGACUGGGCAACUCCGCGUGGGUGGUGACGGCCUUCGGGUUGUAAAGCUCUGUUAAUCGGGACGCGGUACCGGAAUAGAAAGCCACGGCUAACUACGUGCCAGCAGCCGCGGUAAUAC
RNAcentral lists this ribosomal RNA (408 nucleotides) under uncultured bacterium. RNAcentral's name for it is "partial 16S ribosomal RNA". It matches the Rfam family "Bacterial small subunit ribosomal RNA", at positions 28 to 526 of the family's 1533-position model. The record is from RNAcentral.